CGAAAUGCGAUAAGUAAUGUGAAUUGCAGAAUUCAGUGAAUCAUCGAAUCUUUGAACGCACCUUGCGCUCCUUGGUAUUCCUUGGAGCAUGCCUGUUUGAGUAUCAUGAAAUCUUCAAAGUAAAUCUUUUGUUAACUCAAUUGGUUUCUACUUUGGUAUUGGAGGUCUUUGCAGCUUCACACCUGCUCCUCUUUGUUCAUUAGCUGGAUCUCAGUGUUAUGCUUGAUUCCACUCGGCGUGAUAAGUUAUCUAUCGCUGAGGACACUGUAAAAGGUGGCCAAGGUAAAUGCAGAUGAACCGCUUCUAAUAGUCCAUUGACUUGGACAAUACUUUUAUGAUCUGAUCUCAAAUCAGGUAGGACUACCCGCUGAACUUAAGC
Molecule: unclassified non-coding RNA, 379 nt
Filed under: plant metagenome
Description: partial contains 5.8S ribosomal RNA, internal transcribed spacer 2, and large subunit ribosomal RNA
Rfam family: 5.8S ribosomal RNA (bases 1-106)
Source: RNAcentral